This 253-nucleotide ribosomal RNA is filed under the name uncultured bacterium. RNAcentral describes it as "partial 16S ribosomal RNA". It matches the Rfam family "Bacterial small subunit ribosomal RNA", at positions 524 to 776 of the family's 1533-position model. The record is from RNAcentral.
GACGUAGGGGGCAAGCGUUGUCCGGAAUCAUUGGGCGUAAAGAGCGUGUAGGCGGCUCGAUAAGUCUGCUGUGAAAGUCCAGGGCUCAACCCUGGAAGGCCGGUGGAAACUGUCGGGCUAGAGUCCGGAAGAGGCGAGUGGAAUUCCCGGUGUAGCGGUGAAAUGCGCAGAUAUCUGGAGGAACACCGGUGGCGAAGGCAGAUCUCUGGGCCGUAACUGACGCUGAGGAGCGAAAGCAUGGGGAGCGAACAGG